Long non-coding RNA from Piliocolobus tephrosceles (Ugandan red Colobus), 1820 nucleotides. The record is from Ensembl. Lineage: Eukaryota; Metazoa; Chordata; Mammalia; Primates; Cercopithecidae.
UUUAUACGUGCUCUUGUUUAUACUUGUUUUUUUUAAUACAUGUACAUAUUUACAUGUUCACUUGUUUAUAUGUGCACGUGUUUAUACAUAGCCUAGCAACCAGUGAAUGCACAGGUUAAUACUAUUUUUAAUUUAUGUUGUGAUAUUUUAUUAUAAAAAUAAUCAUCCACUCACUUUUUGUAUAAUUAAAACGAAGAGAAAUCAUUUAUAUAUAUUUAAAAAAAAAAAAAGUUUUUGAAAAAAUGGAUAAUGUAAUUGAACAGAACAAUACUAACAUUUUAACUAGGGAUGUAAAAAAUGCUGUAAUAAAUAAAAAAAACAUUAAUAAGAAUUUCCAUUUAUCCUUAGAUAAAUAUUCUAAAUGUAUCAAUGAAACACGAACUGGUAUUAAAUCAUCAGGUGAACAUGUUUUAAGUAUUUUUAGUUUCGCUUUAAAAUAUAUGAAAGAAAAAGAUUUAAAAAAAUGGAUUAAACUUAAUAUAAAGGUCCCAAUUUGUGACGCCCGUGUACUCCGUAGACAACGACAAGCGUAUAUAUAUUUUAAAACAUAUGAAGAAAUGAAAAAAUUUAAAAAAUUAAUCGAAAAUAAACGUUUCUAUCAAAAUGAUAGUUUAUCAAAUAUUGAAAUUGACAAAUCUUUCAAAUACAUACAAGAAAGGAAACAGAGUAAACAUAGCCAAUUGAAAGAAUUAAUAAAUAAUACUAAAGUCGAACAUAUUGAAGGUAAUAAUGCUACUAACAAUGAUGAAGGUAAUAAUGCUACUAACAAUAACAGUAGUGAAAAACAUACUAUUAUAUACGAAAAUAAGAAAAGAAAACGGGAACCCUUAAAUGGUCGUCUUACCCAUAAACAAACAAAAACAAAUCAUGAAACAUUACCAGACUUUAAAACUAUCAUAGAAAUUAAUAAAAAAGAAAAAAAAAAAACUAUUGAAAAUUAUGUAACUCCACUUUAUAAAUAUAAUUAUGCUGAUCAAAUUAAAAUAAAGAACACAUUUUUAGAAAAAUGCAAAAAUAAAAUUUUAAGUAAUUUAAAAGAAAAAUAUCAAAAACAAAAUUUACUUUUUAGCAAUGAAAUAUCAGGUGAUAUUUUUUCCAAUUCGAAUACAACAAAUAACAACAGCUCAAAUAAAAAAGAUACUUCUUUACGUUCCUCUAAUAAUAACAAUAUUACACUUACUGCUGUUAAUAACGAUAGUACUAAUCUCAGUAAUGACAACGAAAGUAAUAUAAAACAAGAAAACAACAACGAAAGCCUUUUGGAUAAACAAAUAAAACAAUACGAAUUAAAACUUGAUGCACCUUUAUAUCCUGACGAGCAACAUGUUUCUGGAUAUCGAAAUAAAUGCGAAUUUACUAUUGCCUAUGAUGAAAAUAAUAAUAUGGAAAUAGGUUUUGUUGUAGGUAAACUUAAAAAUAAUGUAAACGAAACUAGCGAUUAUACUAAUUGCAAUUUUAGCGAAAAUAACAUAAGUAACAAUCCUUCCCCUAUAAAUGAAUCACAUCAAACUAUACUUAGGAAUAAAAAACUACAACAGGCAUAUUACCUAAAUCCUAUUGUUGAAAAAGUUGAUACUUGUAUUCAUAUCCAUCCAUGUAUGAAACAAGCUAUAAACAAAAUAAAAGAUAUAAUUAAAAGUUCACCUUAUCCAGUGUUUGAUAGAGUCUAUAAAACAGGUACUAUACAUAUACAUAUAUACAUACAUAUAUAUAUAUAUAUAUAUAUAUAUUUAUAUGUGUAUGUUCGCUUGUUAACUAGUUACGUAUGUUCGCUUGUUAACUAGUUACGUAUGUUCCCUUUUUAACUAGUUACGUAUGUU